GUAAAUUUCCAAUACCUUGAUUACUUUCUUACAAACAAAUGCUAGUUCUUUCAAACGAAGUCGAGUAAUUGCUCAUCUUAACAUCAGCUCAUAGUGUGAAAACUGCCAUGGCCCCUAGGCCCUGCAAAUUGUCACCAUUGUUGUUCAUUGGCAACUAAGUUACUGUGUUUGCAUUUCUCUGCCUCUGAAAAUGAUCUUUGCCUUGGCUCUUCGGCAAAUAUCUGGGACCCAAUUGUGAUUUCUAGAAACUUGACCACAUGUUUUCGCCUUGUAAGAAUGUGAGUUUAGGAAUUUUAUGUAUUCAACUGAUCCACUCAUCAAAUAUAAAAAUGGAUAGAGUUUUACACACGCCACACCUUUUUCCAAUGGCUUUCUAUGAAUUUUAGUUGAAGCGACUGUCACUGUUUUUUUCUUUUUGUUGCUGGACCAGCCAAACUGCGUUGCCAGAGUUAUUUCUGGGAGAAAUGAGAAGAAGGUAAACGUUCCUAUCCCUGCACGUUAGCUUUUCUUAUGGUCAUGAAGCCAAACGCUAACACAAUAGGGACAAUGCACGGUAUUUAUAGAAGGCUGUUAUAAACAAACUGAAGAGUUUCAUUCUGGGUUUUGAGUAGUAUUAAAUUGAAAUAUGCA
This 630-nucleotide long non-coding RNA is filed under the name Olea europaea (common olive). RNAcentral describes it as "long non-coding RNA (OEUR_LNC009517)". Lineage: Eukaryota; Viridiplantae; Streptophyta; Magnoliopsida; Lamiales; Oleaceae. The record is from RNAcentral.